AUCACCCCCACCCACUCCCGGCCCGGCCGCUGCCAAGUCGGAGGAGCCGCUGGAGUGUCUCCCUCUACCGGAGGCUCUCGGGCGGCGGGCGCGGGCCUGCUCCUGCGGCAGGGAGGCGGGCGGCCUGGAGAAGCGGCUCCGCUCGCGAGGAGCCUCGGAUGGGGAGUGCGGUGGACCCCCAGGAACUCUGGAGCACCCUCCCGCCCCCAAGCCAAGUCCUCCUUAGCGAACAACCGGGGCCGAGUUCCAAGAUAUCACCGGUGCUGAGGGGACCGAGAUGAGGAUCCUUGGAUCCCCCAAAAGAGAACACCAGCUCUGGGAUCGCCAGGCCCUGGCUCAGCUCUCCACCCUGUAAUGAAAUGGCCAGCUAUCUGGGACAUUACUGCUCUCCAGCUCUUCCAUCUCUUCUGCUUCUGCCGACCCCACAGAGGACCAGCAUGAAAGGAGAUCAUUAGGCUAUUCAGGGCCUCCCUCAGACUGCAGAGGUGGCUAAGAACUCCCUGCCCACAACCCCUGCCCAGGGUUACAUGGGGUUUUGAAAGCAUUAUUCUCCCCAAACAAAAACCACCUCUCCCAUUUGGACUGAAGGAUCCAUCCCUGAGCCCCUUGUCUCCUAUCUCCUUUUCAGUAGCCUCCUCGCCAUCAGAACUGUCACUCCCGCUGCCAUCAUCCUCUCCUUCAGCACCAUCUCCAUUCUCAUCACUCGCAUCACCACCACCUCACACAGAACCAUCUGCAUCCUUCUGCUCACCCAGUGGACCCUCUUCUCCCUGUACCCAGGGAGGAACCCUAUCAGCAUUUGCUGCCUUUGAUGCUGCAUCCAAACUCUAAGCCCUCCUGAGCUAAGGAUUUUGCAUGGCUGGGCUCCCAACUGUAUUCUGGCAGCUGGGCCCCAUGGCAGCCAGACUGCAGGGCUCAGAGAAACAACCAACAACCCUGGGAAGGGGUGAAGGCCACAUGCCCUGCAGAAGAUGGUCCCGUCUUAUUGCAUUAGAAAGGGACAGUGAAGAAGAGUGACCAAAUGAGGGAGCAAGAAACCCCCAGCUUACCUCGCAUAGGGACCACGGUUUACUUAGCAAGGAAGAACAAAACGGAACAACAGCAAUAAUAAUAGCUAAUAUGUAUUGCUUAUUGGCUGGGUGCCAGACUCCAUGCUGAGUGCCGAACAUGCAUUGUUCAUCAGAUCUCCACAGCACCCCUAUGUGGCUUAGGUAAGUGAAGGAACUUGUCGCCAGGUGUGAACUCAGACAGGCUGCCAUCAGAACCCACACUCCAAACCACCAUUCUGAAUUGCUCCUUCAUAAAGCAUAAACGUUCACUCCCUUGCCCCCCUCAUCCAUUCAUUUAUUCACUGAUUCACUCAUUCAGCAUGCAUACACUGAUAGCCUCUAAGAAACUUACCAGCUCAUUGGUUCCCAUUCAGCAUCUAGGCUGUCCAGGCACAUAGAAGGCACUCGGCUAUGAAGACGAAUAAAUCAGAAUCCCUGAACUCCCAGAAAUCUUUAAGGUUUUCAGGGGCCAUGAGAGAUGUGGAAAAGCCUAAUUCUGCCUUCAGAUCACACCCAUAUUUUACAGCAGAGAAACUGAGGCCUAGUAGGAGGGACAUGGAAAGGGUGUUCAAAUCUCUCCCGAUUUAACAGUCAAGUAAGAGUCCACUUGGAUUCUCAACACAAAUCAGGGUUUGUCUUCCAGCCUCACCCGUCUCCGGAGAUUUUGCAUAUAUGUUGUGUCACUGCUUGGCUGCGUGGUCCUUUUGACAGACUCAGUAAGUCUCUUUCUGCCUUUAUUCCCAUUGGCUACUUUCACAAUACCCAGUAGUAAUGUCCACACCCAAAUCAAAACUCAUCCACUCCAGAAACUACUUCAUUCAGGACACCUAUGUCUUGUAUCCCCAGAGCUUAUGUGUUCACAUUCCCAUCAUAGUAGUAUACAUUUGUAUGAUCCUUUGUAUGUGUUCUUAAAUUUCGAGUACGUAUACAUUAGUUCAAGCAGCUUUUGAACUUCAUGAAGGCAAGGAUUUAGUGUUUCUUUUAUAUCCUACCUUCUCCUUCCCAAUCUCUCAGUCUCUCAGCAUCUGGUAACAAUCUCAGCCUAUUCAAAUUACUAAUAAAUGCAAAUUUCUUGACCUU
Molecule: long non-coding RNA, 2129 nt
Filed under: Homo sapiens (human)
Lineage: Eukaryota; Metazoa; Chordata; Mammalia; Primates; Hominidae
Description: HSALNT0182822
Source: RNAcentral